This 253-nucleotide ribosomal RNA is filed under the name uncultured bacterium. RNAcentral describes it as "partial 16S ribosomal RNA". It matches the Rfam family "Bacterial small subunit ribosomal RNA", at positions 524 to 776 of the family's 1533-position model. The record is from RNAcentral.
UACGUAGGGUGCGAGCGUUAAUCGGAAUUACUGGGCGUAAAGCGUGCGCAGGCGGUUUUGUAAGCCAGAUGUGAAAGCCCCGGGCUCAACCUGGGAAUGGCAUUUGGGACUGCAAGGCUUGAGUGCGGCAGAGGAGACUGGAAUUCCUGGUGCAGCAGUGAAAUGCGUAGAUAUCAGGAGGAAUACCGAUGGCGAAGGCAGGUCUCUGGGCCUGUCCUGACGCUGAGGCGCGAAAGCUAGGGGAGCGAACAGG